UCCACAGGCCGACGCUCUAUCCACUGAGCCAAACCGGUUUCAGCCAGAGGUUCUUCUUAAAGGAGGCUGUGACGCUCAACCACCUUAUGUUAGAGAAGGGGAUGGGGGACCCCAGGGUCACAUGGAAAUUUAGCAGGAAGUUGCCAAGAAGAACCCAAGACAGCAGACCGUAGAAUGCCAUUUCAGGGUUGAGUCAAUGCCACUGCCUCCGGGAAGCCUUCCCUGAACUCAUCCCAUUUUCCCUUCUCCUCCUUUCCCCUUGCCUGGAUCGGACACACCGUACCACCGUUAGCCACUUCAGUGCUGCCCCUGCUGGCAUGAGACACCAGGACACCAGGACCUGAGUCUUAUCCAUCGUGUACCCUGUGCCUGGGGCUCUGUAUGUGAUGGUUAUCGGGUGUCACGUACCCAUCGUGUGCCAGGCAAUGGGACAAACACUCAAUCGCGAAGUUAAAAAAAAAAAAAAAAGUGUAUGUAAUAAAUCCCUAGAAAAAGAAUCUUGGGUUCUUCUUGGCAACUUCCUGCUAAAUUUCCAUGUGACCCUGGGGUUUUCUCUUCUGAGUGUUUUCGUCUUGCUUCCUCGCAGCCAUGAUGUUAGUACGUCGUCAGUACGAUGGAAUCACACUGACAAGGAGGGAGAAGGUGACCCGGCCACGUUCCCGGGUGACCGAGCUCCACAUCAGAUCCGGGGCCGAUCGCCAUCAGCUCAGCGGCAUAUACCAUGAUCUGCUCAGCCAUUCACCCGCCCAUGAGCACCUGGGUUGCUUCCACCUGUUGACCUGGAAUAGGGCUGCAAUGAACAUGGGUUUCCAUGGACAGACCUGAUAGCACAUUCAAGGCAGUGACCAACCGAGGCCGCCCCUGUGUCAGGAACACGAGAGGUUUCUGGAGACCCCAGCACACGGCCCCUCACGUCCCUCCGAGUCCCAUGGCCAGCACGGAGGCUCAGUUCCUUAGAGCAUCAUCUAAUACGCCAAGGUUGUGGGUUGAUCCCCGGUCAGGGCACAUACAAGAAUCAUCCAAUGAAUGUGUCAAUAAGCAGGCCUUUCUCUCUCCCCCAUCCCCUCUUUCUCUAAGAAAUCAAUAAAAAUCUUUA
This is a long non-coding RNA of Pipistrellus kuhlii (Kuhl's pipistrelle), 1096 nucleotides long. RefSeq lists it as uncharacterized. The record is from RefSeq and is a predicted model, not a curated record. NCBI's taxonomy places the organism in Eukaryota, Metazoa, Chordata, Mammalia, Chiroptera, Vespertilionidae. The transcript is spliced from 3 exons.